Molecule: long non-coding RNA, 1497 nt
Filed under: Marmota monax (woodchuck)
Lineage: Eukaryota; Metazoa; Chordata; Mammalia; Rodentia; Sciuridae
Source: RNAcentral
GAAAGACAUAGGUUUGGUUUUGUAUGUUUAUUUUUUACAUUAUAUAAAAAUAUUUUGAUUCUGCCAAACUACUAUGAUAUUCUCAAAAGACAACUUCUUAUUUGAUGUGGACAUUCAUGCUGCAUUUCAGUUAAUGCACUUCUUGCCCCAGUUGACCCUAAGUUUUUAUUAGUUUUUGCCUCAUGGUUGCUGAUUUUUCAGUCAAGAGUAGUCUCCAGAAGAGUAAGCAUUUCUAAACUAGUUUACUUUCUCAUCUUUGACUAGCAAUACAGAGGCUGUAGAACCCCGUCCAAAGGAAACACUGCAGCAUCACCCUGGCCCCUUGGAGGAAGUCAUUGUGCUCUGUGUGUGAAGGCAGAAUACCCCCCUGGCAUCUAAAGCAACAGCUCUUGAAAGACCGUCCUCGUGCCUCUUAGCUCAUGCCCAGCAGGAAAGGGGAGGACUCUUGUUGUUGGCGCAUUGUUUGGUGGUUGGUUUGAGGCUCUUAGGUCAUUUCUCUUAGCACUCAUCUCUUUUUGCUCUUUGGACAUGUCUUAUGCUGCUGACUUCUAUCAUUUUUUGGUCCCUAAUUCCUGCACCAUUCCCUUCUAUGAUUUCAUGGUCAUUUCAGCAGACCCCAUGUAACAGAGGUCACUAGACAUCUCCACCUUCUCUGCAGUGCAUUCUGAAGGGUGAAUAGGCCUCCCUGGUGCUCCUGGGCCUAGGGCUAGCCUAUAGUUGCAGGCUCAUUCAUGGGUACAUUCUUUCUAGCUUUGUGUUCUGAGCUCCACUUAGUAUGUUUUAUUUCUAAUAUGAUCUUGCCAUGUACUAUGGUCCACAGGAUUAUUUUUAAAUGUGAUUUUAUUCAAAGUGUAAAAAAUUAGAGGCAACUUGUGCAACUUAGCAAGAUGCUGUCUCAAAAAAUAAAAAGGGCUAUUGAUGUAAUUCAAUGGUACAGUCACCAUUCAAUCCCCAGUACAAAACAACAAUAACAACAACAACAACAAAAACUUCUGUUCAAUGUCAGACUGGAAGUCCUAAUUAAUGUAAUAAGACAAGAGAAAGAAAUAACAGGUAUACUGAUUGAAAAGGAAGAAAUAAAACUCUUUUAUUUAUCUUAUUUGCAGAUGACAUGAUAGUCUAUGCAGAUUAUUCAAAAGCAUCAACAAGACAAAAACUUCCUGAAGCUACUAAGUGAUUAUAGCAAGGUUGCAGGAUACAAGGCUAAUAUAUAAGUUGUUCACUUUCUUGUAUACUUGCAAUGACAAGUGGGGUUUGAAUUAGAAACCAAUACCAUUAACACUAGCAUUCCCCAAAAUGAAAUACUUCAGCAUAAAUCUUAACAAAAUGUGUACCAGAUCUAUAUGAAGAAAACUACAAAAUUCUAAUAAAAUCAAAGAAGAACUAAAUAAGUGGAGAGAUAGUCUAUGUUCAUGGAUAGGAAGACUCAAUACUGUCAAGAUGUUAGUUCUUCCCAAAUUAACUUAUAGAUUCAAUGCAAUCCAUAUAAAAAUCUCC